Molecule: ribosomal RNA, 490 nt
Filed under: uncultured bacterium
Lineage: Bacteria
Description: partial 16S ribosomal RNA
Rfam family: Bacterial small subunit ribosomal RNA
Source: RNAcentral
AUUGAACGCUGGCGGCAGGCCUAACACAUGCAAGUCGAACGGUAACACGAAGCAGCUUUCUGCUUCGCUGACGAGUGGCGGACGGGUGAGUAGUGUCUGUGCAGCUGUCUGAUGUAGGGGGAUAACUAGUGGAAACGGUAGCUAAUACCGCAUAAUGUCGCAAGACCAGAGAGGGGGGGCUUCUGGCCUCUUGCGAUCGUAGGUGCCCAGAUGGGGGUAGCGUGGUUGUGGGGUAACGGCCCACCAAGGGGGCGAUCCCUAGCGGGUCUGAGAGGAUGGGCAGCCACACUAGAAAGUGGACGCGGUCCUGAGGCCUACGGGAGGGCGCAGGGGGGAAUGUUGGGCAAUGGGCGGAAGCCUUAUGCAGCCAUGCCGCGUGUAUGAAAAAGGCCUUCGGGUUGUAAAGUACUUUCAGCGGGGAGAAAGGGAGUAAAGUUAAUACCUUUGCUCAUUGACGGUACCCGCAGAAGAAGCACCGGCUAACUCCGUG